UACAGAGGUGCCAAGCGUUAGGCGGAAUCACUGGGCUUAAAGCGCGUGUAGGCGGGUCGUUAAGUGUCUUGUGAAAUCCCACGGCUCAACCGUGGAACUGCUGGGCAUACUGACGAUCUUGAGGCACUCAGGGGCUGUCGGAACAAAUGGUGGAGCGGUGAAAUGCGUAGAUAUCAUUUGGAACGCCAACGGUGAAAACAGACAGCUGGGGGUGUCCUGACGCUGAGACGCGAAAGCCAGGGGAGCAAACGGG
Molecule: ribosomal RNA, 253 nt
Filed under: uncultured bacterium
Lineage: Bacteria
Description: partial 16S ribosomal RNA
Rfam family: Bacterial small subunit ribosomal RNA
Source: RNAcentral